This 253-nucleotide ribosomal RNA is filed under the name uncultured bacterium. RNAcentral describes it as "partial 16S ribosomal RNA". It matches the Rfam family "Bacterial small subunit ribosomal RNA", at positions 524 to 776 of the family's 1533-position model. The record is from RNAcentral.
GACGUAGGGCGCGAGCGUUGUCCGGAUUUAUUGGGCGUAAAGAGCUCGUAGGCGGCUCGUUGCGUCAACCGUGAAAACCCGGGGCUUAACUUCGGGCUUGCGGUUGAUACGGGCGGGCUGGAGUUCGGUAGGGGAGACUGGAAUUCCUGGUGUAGCGGUGAAAUGCGCAGAUAUCAGGAGGAACACCGGUGGCGAAGGCGGCUCACUGGCUCAUUUCUGACGCUCAGGCGCGACAGCGUGGGGAUCAAACAGG